GGUUAAGCGACUAAGCGUACACGGUGGAUGCCCUGGCAGUCAGAGGCGAUGAAGGACGUGCUAAUCUGCGAUAAGCGUCGGUAAGGUGAUAUGAACCGUUAUAACCGGCGAUUUCCGAAUGGGGAAACCCAGUGUGAUUCGUCACACUAUCAUUAACUGAAUCCAUAGGUUAAUGAGGCGAACCGGGGGAACUGAAACAUCUAAGUACCCCGAGGAAAAGAAAUCAACCGAGAUUCCCCCAGUAGCGGCGAGCGAACGGGGAGCAGCCCAGAGCCUGAAUCAGUGUGUGUGUUAGUGGAAGCGUCUGGAAAGGCGCGCGAUACAGGGUGACAGCCCCGUACACAAAAAUGCACAUAUUGUGAGCUCGAUGAGUAGGGCGGGACACGUGGUAUCCUGUCUGAAUAUGGGGGGACCAUCCUCCAAGGCUAAAUACUCCUGACUGACCGAUAGUGAACCAGUACCGUGAGGGAAAGGCGAAAAGAACCCCGGCGAGGGGAGUGAAAAAGAACCUGAAACCGUGUACGUACAAGCAGUGGGAGCACAGAGCAAUCUGUGUGACUGCGUACCUUUUGUAUAAUGGGUCAGCGACUUAUAUUCUGUAGCAAGGUUAACCGAAUAGGGGAGCCGAAGGGAAACCGAGUCUUAACUGGGCGUUAAGUUGCAGGGUAUAGACCCGAAACCCGGUGAUCUAGCCAUGGGCAGGUUGAAGGUUGGGUAACACUAACUGGAGGACCGAACCGACUAAUGUUGAAAAAUUAGCGGAUGACUUGUGGCUGGGGGUGAAAGGCCAAUCAAACCGGGAGAUAGCUGGUUCUCCCCGAAAGCUAUUUAGGUAGCGCCUCGUGAAUUCAUCUCCGGGGGUAGAGCACUGUUUCGGCAAGGGGGUCAUCCCGACUUACCAACCCGAUGCAAACUGCGAAUACCGGAGAAUGUUAUCACGGGAGACACACGGCGGGUGCUAACGUCCGUCGUGAAGAGGGAAACAACCCAGACCGCCAGCUAAGGUCCCAAAGUCAUGGUUAAGUGGGAAACGAUGUGGGAAGGCCCAGACAGCCAGGAUGUUGGCUUAGAAGCAGCCAUCAUUUAAAGAAAGCGUAAUAGCUCACUGGUCGAGUCGGCCUGCGCGGAAGAUGUAACGGGGCUAAACCAUGCACCGAAGCUGCGGCAGCGACGCUUAUGCGUUGUUGGGUAGGGGAGCGUUCUGUAAGCCUGCGAAGGUGUGCUGUGAGGCAUGCUGGAGGUAUCAGAAGUGCGAAUGCUGACAUAAGUAACGAUAAAGCGGGUGAAAAGCCCGCUCGCCGGAAGACCAAGGGUUCCUGUCCAACGUUAAUCGGGGCAGGGUGAGUCGACCCCUAAGGCGAGGCCGAAAGGCGUAGUCGAUGGGAAACAGGUUAAUAUUCCUGUACUUGGUGUUACUGCGAAGGGGGGACGGAGAAGGCUAUGUUGGCCGGGCGACGGUUGUCCCGGUUUAAGCGUGUAGGCUGGUUUUCCAGGCAAAUCCGGAAAAUCAAGGCUGAGGCGUGAUGACGAGGCACUACGGUGCUGAAGCAACAAAUGCCCUGCUUCCAGGAAAAGCCUCUAAGCAUCAGGUAACAUCAAAUCGUACCCCAAACCGACACAGGUGGUCAGGUAGAGAAUACCAAGGCGCUUGAGAGAACUCGGGUGAAGGAACUAGGCAAAAUGGUGCCGUAACUUCGGGAGAAGGCACGCUGAUAUGUAGGUGAAGUCCCUCGCGGAUGGAGCUGAAAUCAGUCGAAGAUACCAGCUGGCUGCAACUGUUUAUUAAAAACACAGCACUGUGCAAACACGAAAGUGGACGUAUACGGUGUGACGCCUGCCCGGUGCCGGAAGGUUAAUUGAUGGGGUUAGCGCAAGCGAAGCUCUUGAUCGAAGCCCCGGUAAACGGCGGCCGUAACUAUAACGGUCCUAAGGUAGCGAAAUUCCUUGUCGGGUAAGUUCCGACCUGCACGAAUGGCGUAAUGAUGGCCAGGCUGUCUCCACCCGAGACUCAGUGAAAUUGAACUCGCUGUGAAGAUGCAGUGUACCCGCGGCAAGACGGAAAGACCCCGUGAACCUUUACUAUAGCUUGACACUGAACAUUGAGCCUUGAUGUGUAGGAUAGGUGGGAGGCUUUGAAGUGUGGACGCCAGUCUGCAUGGAGCCGACCUUGAAAUACCACCCUUUAAUGUUUGAUGUUCUAACGUGGACCCGUAAUCCGGGUUGCGGACAGUGUCUGGUGGGUAGUUUGACUGGGGCGGUCUCCUCCUAAAGAGUAACGGAGGAGCACGAAGGUUGGCUAAUCCUGGUCGGACAUCAGGAGGUUAGUGCAAUGGCAUAAGCCAGCUUGACUGCGAGCGUGACGGCGCGAGCAGGUGCGAAAGCAGGUCAUAGUGAUCCGGUGGUUCUGAAUGGAAGGGCCAUCGCUCAACGGAUAAAAGGUACUCCGGGGAUAACAGGCUGAUACCGCCCAAGAGUUCAUAUCGACGGCGGUGUUUGGCACCUCGAUGUCGGCUCAUCACAUCCUGGGGCUGAAGUAGGUCCCAAGGGUAUGGCUGUUCGCCAUUUAAAGUGGUACGCGAGCUGGGUUUAGAACGUCGUGAGACAGUUCGGUCCCUAUCUGCCGUGGGCGCUGGAGAACUGAGGGGGGCUGCUCCUAGUACGAGAGGACCGGAGUGGACGCAUCACUGGUGUUCGGGUUGUCAUGCCAAUGGCACUGCCCGGUAGCUAAAUGCGGAAGAGAUAAGUGCUGAAAGCAUCUAAGCACGAAACUUGCCCCGAGAUGAGUUCUCCCUGACUCCUUGAGAGUCCUGAAGGAACGUUGAAGACGACGACGUUGAUAGGCCGGGUGUGUAAGCGCAGCGAUGCGUUGAGCUAACCGGUACUAAUGAACCGUGAGGCUUAACCUU
RNAcentral lists this ribosomal RNA (2906 nucleotides) under Escherichia coli O152:H23. Its description in RNAcentral is "23S ribosomal RNA". It matches the Rfam family "Bacterial large subunit ribosomal RNA". The record is from RNAcentral. Lineage: Bacteria; Pseudomonadati; Pseudomonadota; Gammaproteobacteria; Enterobacterales; Enterobacteriaceae.